AUGGAUGGCGUGGCAUUUGCAUUG
Molecule: non-coding RNA, 24 nt
Filed under: Arabidopsis thaliana (thale cress)
Lineage: Eukaryota; Viridiplantae; Streptophyta; Magnoliopsida; Brassicales; Brassicaceae
Source: RNAcentral